UCGUUUUGAUAUUAGGUUUGUGCUUGCUUUCAUCUCCGCCAUUCGAGAUAGAGAACCAAUCGAGUUCUGAGAUCGCUGUUUCAUCUUCUUCCUUAUAAUCCGAAAGCUACCAGUUACUUUUCAUCUUCUUAAAGUCCUUAUUAAAUCCUUCACCCACCCACGAUCUACCUUGAAUGCGAGCUUCCCCCAUGAAAGGCUGUGGAACUGUGACUAUAAAAAGAAUGGUCAAGGACGUACAGUAGCGUGUUCCAUCCACGAGAGGCUGAAAUAUGGAGUCAUUCAUUAUACAACUUCAAAGUCUCUUGCAUCACAGCUUCCUCUCUCGGUGUUCAUCAACAGAUGAUAGCCGGUAAUGGGCAGUUUCCAGGACCUCUGUUUAAUGCUACGACCAUCUACAAUGUUGUUGUUAGAGUCUAAAUUGGAUGAGCCUCUUCUUUUAACUUGGCAUGGGCCACCUGGCAUCCAAAUGCGGCGUAACUUGUGGCAAGACGGUCUUCAGGUGGAAGAUCAAAUUGGAAGCUUCUUCUACUCUCCCUGACUCAACUUUCAGAGAGCAUAUGGUAAUUUUGUUCAUGUUGUGAUUAAUAACCGGAAAAUUAAUCUUAUCCUUUUCGCAUGGCCUGACGGCGAAAUGGUACACUCAUGACCAUAAAGAGAAUACUUGACUAUGAGAAAGAACUUGGGAUGCCGGAUGGAGUCUCAUCAUUGGGAAGGGCCCUUACAAGUACAACAGUAUUGUACCUGUUGGAAUUGAUCACUUAUCCGUUCAUGCUGAACUAGGUGCUAAGAGUUUUUCUAUCCCUUUGUCUCAUGAGAUGGAUGACUCUUCUAAUGUGACUUUCCCUUUGUGGGGAAACCCUUUAAAGCUUGAAGCUCACGUUGUUUACUUUCUCUACAAUUCUAGAUUUUAGUACAACUUUAUUGUAACAAUAAUUUUGUUUCAACUAGAUUCAUAUAAAAUAUUUUUCUGUUAAUUUUUCAUU
Long non-coding RNA from Brassica oleracea var. oleracea, 983 nucleotides. RefSeq lists it as uncharacterized. The transcript has 5 exons. The record is from RefSeq and is a predicted model, not a curated record. Lineage: Eukaryota; Viridiplantae; Streptophyta; Magnoliopsida; Brassicales; Brassicaceae.